This 497-nucleotide ribosomal RNA is filed under the name uncultured bacterium. RNAcentral describes it as "partial 16S ribosomal RNA". It matches the Rfam family "Bacterial small subunit ribosomal RNA", at positions 28 to 507 of the family's 1533-position model. The record is from RNAcentral.
GACGAACGCUGGCGGCGUGCCUAAUACAUGCAAGUUGAGCGCUGAAGGUUGGUACUUGUACCAACUGGAUGAGCAGCGAACGGGUGAGUAACGCGUGGGGAAUCUGCCUUUGAGCGGGGGACAACAUUUGGAAACGAAUGCUAAUACCGCAUAAAAACUUUAAACACAAGUUUUAAGUUUGAAAGAUGCAAUUGCAUCACUCAAAGAUGAUCCCGCGUUGUAUUAGCUAGUUGGUGAGGUAAAGGCUCACCAAGGCGAUGAUACAUAGCCGACCUGAGAGGGUGAUCGGCCACAUUGGGACUGAGACACGGCCCAAACUCCUACGGGAGGCAGCAGUAGGGAAUCUUCGGCAAUGGACGAAAGUCUGACCGAGCAACGCCGCGUGAGUGAAGAAGGGUUUCGGAUCGUAAAACUCUGUUGGUAGAGAAGAACGGUUGUGAGAGUGGAAAGCUCAUCAAGUGACGGUAACUACCCAGAAAGGGACGGCUAACUACGUG